AUUAGUUCUAUAUUUCCUUUUUUUUUACGAGCUACAAGUUCAUAUCCCUGUAACUAUUUCAUUGACAAAGUGACAUCUACCAGAAGAUGGGGACAAUCUAUCCUCAUGUCUAUUAUUUUCAAACAACAAUCUCAUCUCAUGUUAACCUGAAUUUAGUGAGAUAAAAAGUAUUCUAACACUUCUAUGUUGCAUCUCCCAUUAACUUUAUCGAUACAAAUUUGAAAGAAUUCCUCAUCAAUUAGAUGAUGUUCAUACAUGGGUGAUGAACUUCUAUCUUGUGAAAGUGUUGGUAUAAAAAGUAGCUUGGCGGCAACCAAAAGUGCUAGAAAAGUGAUAGAACAAUCUAAUUUUGCCAUAUUGAGACUAAGAAAA
RNAcentral lists this long non-coding RNA (372 nucleotides) under Carica papaya (papaya). RNAcentral's name for it is "long non-coding RNA (CPAP_LNC000061)". Lineage: Eukaryota; Viridiplantae; Streptophyta; Magnoliopsida; Brassicales; Caricaceae. The record is from RNAcentral.